CGAAAGUACAGAUAUCCCUGUCGAAUCGUCGAGAAAACAACGCUUGAUCGUUCUGGCUGCGACUUGGUGGGUAAUCUGGACGGAUAGAAACAACUAUGUUUUCAACGGAAAGCCGCCCAAUGUUUCCGGAUCUCUAGAACGUCUCAAACUACUGAUCAGCAAUUGGACCACAUUGCUCUGAAGCCCCUUGUACCCCCCCUCUAUUUCUCUUUCUGUCGUGACUUUGUCCUUCUUUUCUCUUCCUUUUUGCUCUUAUUUUAAUUUUCUCCUUUUGCCGGCUCCUCGGAGGCCUAAGCUGCUUCCAAUCUGUAUGCUCAGUUCAUUUGACUUAAUGAAUGAAGCAGGUAGCUUGCUACCUAUUU
Molecule: long non-coding RNA, 362 nt
Filed under: Ananas comosus (pineapple)
Lineage: Eukaryota; Viridiplantae; Streptophyta; Magnoliopsida; Poales; Bromeliaceae
Description: long non-coding RNA (ACOM_LNC008189)
Source: RNAcentral